This 626-nucleotide ribosomal RNA is filed under the name uncultured bacterium. Its description in RNAcentral is "bacterial SSU rRNA". It matches the Rfam family "Bacterial small subunit ribosomal RNA", at positions 249 to 885 of the family's 1533-position model. The record is from RNAcentral.
UUGGUGGGGUGAUGGCCUACCAAGGCGACGACGGGUAGCCGGCCUGAGAGGGCGACCGGCCACACUGGGACUGAGACACGGCCCAGACUCCUACGGGAGGCAGCAGUGGGGAAUAUUGCGCAAUGGGCGAAAGCCUGAUGCAGCGACGCCGCGUGAGGGAUGACGGCCUUCGGGUUGUAAACCUCUUUCAGCAGGGAAGAAGCGCAAGUGACGGUACCUGCAGAAGAAGCACCGGCUAACUACGUGCCAGCAGCCGCGGUAAUACGUAGGGUGCGAGCGUUGUCCGGAAUUAUUGGGCGUAAAGAGCUCGUAGGCGGUUUGUCGCGUCGGAUGUGAAAGCCCGGGGCUUAACCCCGGGUCUGCAUUCGAUACGGGCAGACUAGAGUGUGGUAGGGGAGAUCGGAAUUCCUGGUGUAGCGGUGAAAUGCGCAGAUAUCAGGAGGAACACCGGUGGCGAAGGCGGAUCUCUGGGCCAUUACUGACGCUGAGGAGCGAAAGCGUGGGGAGCGAACAGGAUUAGAUACCCUGGUAGUCCACGCCGUAAACAUUGGGAACUAGGUGUUGGCGACAUUCCACGUCGUCGGUGCCGCAGCUAACGCAUUAAGUUCCCCGCCUGGGGAGUACGG